Oryza nivara is the source of this 205-nucleotide non-coding RNA. The record is from Rfam. Lineage: Eukaryota; Viridiplantae; Streptophyta; Magnoliopsida; Poales; Poaceae.
AAUAAGUACAACAAUGAGUUUCCGCGACCAAUUUUGAUCGUCCGUCUUAUUUAAAAUUUUUUUAUAAUUAGCAUUUUUGUUGUUAUGAGAUGAUAAAACAAGAGUAGUACUUUACUCGUGGCUUAUGUUUUCAAAUUUUUUUAAAAAAUUUUCAGAUAAGACGAACGGUCAAAGUUGGGCGCGAAAAACCAUGGCUGCACUUAUU